CAAAAAAUUAGCAGUGAAAAUGCUUCACUACUCUAUGCGUGGGUAUAGUGAAAAACGUUCAGCUGCCUGACAUUAACCUGUUGUUGACUUCUCAGUUUUAGAAUUUGGAGGUUGACCUGAACUAAGAUAUGUUAAGCUGCCUGCUCCACAAGAAACCACCUCCCUCGCUGCUGCUUGCUGCUUUCUCUUUAGCCAACAACCAAAGCCACUGCCAGUGUCAGGGAGAUGAGACUUCACAAGCUACAGUUGAAAAGCCAAAAUUUUGGCCUAAGAGGAUCCCCA
Molecule: long non-coding RNA, 282 nt
Filed under: Fukomys damarensis (Damara mole-rat)
Lineage: Eukaryota; Metazoa; Chordata; Mammalia; Rodentia; Bathyergidae
Description: lncRNA (ENSFDAG00000026911.1)
Source: RNAcentral